AACGAACGCUGGCGGCAUGCCUAACACAUGCAAGUCGAACGAGACCUUCGGGUCUUGUGUCGCACGGGUGCGUAACGCGUGGGAACCUGCCCUUAGGUUCGGAAUAACUCCCCGACAGGGGUGCUAAUACCGGAUAAUGUCUUCGGACCAAAGAUUUAUUGCCUUUGGAUGGUCCCGCGUUGGAUUAGCUAGUUGGUAGGGUAAAAGCCUACCACGGCGACGAUCCAUAGCUGGUCUGAGAGGAUGAUCAGCCACACUGGGACUGAGACACGGCCCAGACUCCUACGGGAGGCAGCAGUGGGGAAUAUUGGACAAUGGGCGAAAGCCUGAUCCAGCAAUGCCGCGUGAGUGAUGAAGGCCUUAGGGUUGUAAAGCUCUUUUACCCGGGAUGAUAAUGACAGUACCGGGAGAAUAAGCUCCGGCUAACUCCGUG
Molecule: ribosomal RNA, 433 nt
Filed under: uncultured bacterium
Lineage: Bacteria
Description: partial 16S ribosomal RNA
Rfam family: Bacterial small subunit ribosomal RNA
Source: RNAcentral